Molecule: non-coding RNA, 159 nt
Filed under: Foraminifera environmental sample
Lineage: Eukaryota; Foraminifera
Source: RNAcentral
AUACGUACACACAAAAAAAAGAAGAAGCCUCCAAAAAAAGAAGAAGAGAGAUGGCAGAAAGUAUGAAAAGAAGAAACACACAAACACCGCACACACAAAGAUAUGUGUCGUUUUUUGCAUCAAUCAAUUGUUCUGUUGUUGCUUUCUUGCUUUCUGUUU